RNAcentral lists this ribosomal RNA (471 nucleotides) under uncultured bacterium. RNAcentral describes it as "bacterial SSU rRNA". It matches the Rfam family "Bacterial small subunit ribosomal RNA", at positions 28 to 507 of the family's 1533-position model. The record is from RNAcentral.
GACGAACGCUGGCGGCGUGCUUAACACAUGCAAGUCGAGCGGGGAUACGAGGGAGCUUGCUCCUGAGUAUUCUAGCGGCGGACGGGUGAGUAACGCGUGAGCAACCUUUCUCUCAGUGGGGAAUAACACAGGGAAACUUGUACUAAUACCGCAUGAGACCACAGAACCGCAUGGUUUAGGGGUCAAAGAUUUAUUGCUGAGAGGUGGGCUCGCGUCUGAUUAGGUAGUUGGUGAGGUAACGGCCCACCAAGCCGACGAUCAGUAGCCGACCUGAGAGGGUGAUCGGCCACAUUGGGACUGAGACACGGCCCAAACUCCUACGGGAGGCAGCAGUGGGGGAAUAUUGGGCAAUGGGGGAAACCCUGACCCAGCAACGCCGCGUGGAGGAAGAAGGUUUUCGGAUCGUAAACUCCUGUCCUCAGGGAAGAGCAGAAGACGGUACCUGAGGAGGAAGCCCCGGCUAACUACGUG